UGGUUUGGGGAUUCGCUCCCUGUCGCCAGGUGGNNUCCCUUUGUCCACGCCAUUGUAACACGUGUGUCGCCCCGGAUGUAAGGGCCGUGCUGAUUUGACGUCAUCCCCGCCUUCCUCGCAGCUUACGCUGGCAGUCCCACCAGAGUCCUCAGCUUUACCUGUUAGUAACUAGUGGCAAGGGUUGCGCUCGUUAUGGCACUUAAGCCGACACCUCACGGCACGAGCUGACGACAACCAUGCAGCACCUCGCAAAUCGCUAUUGCUAGAGGCUCUGUUUCCAGAGCGGUCGAAAUGCGUUCAAACCCGGGUAAGGUUCCUCGCGUAUCAUCGAAUUAAACCACAUGUUCCUCCGCUUGUGCGGGCCCCCGUCAAUUCCUUUGAGUUUCACCGUUGCCGGCGUACUCCCCAGGUGGAUCACUUAACGCUUUCGCUGUGCCGCUUACAGUGUAUCGCAAACAGCUAGUGAUCAUCGUUUACUGCGUGGACUACCAGGGUAUCUAAUCCUGUUUGAUCCCCACGCUUUCGUGCAUCAGCGUCAGUCAUGGCUUGGCAGGCUGCCUUCGCAAUCGGGGUUCUGCGUGAUAUCUAAGCAUUUCACCGCUACACCACGCAUUCCGCCUGCCUCAAACAUACUCAAGCCCCCCAGUUUCAACGGCAAUUCUAUGGUUGAGCCACAGACUUUCACCGCUGACUUAAAAGGCCGCCUACGCACCCUUUAAACCCAAUAAAUCCGGAUAACGCUCGGAUCCUCCGUAUUACCGCGGCUGCUGGCACGGAGUUAGCCGAUCCUUAUUCAUAAGGUACAUACAAAACAGGACACGUCCCACACUUUAUUCCCUUAUAAAAGAGGUUUACGAUCCAUAGAACCUUCAUCCCUCACGCGACUUGGCUGGUUCAGGCUUACGCCCAUUGACCAAUAUUCCUCACUGCUGCCUCCCGUAGGAGUUUGGUCCGUGUCUCAGUACCAAUGUGGGGGACCUUCCUCUCAGAACCCCUAUCCAUCGUCGGUUUGGUGGGCCGUUACCCCGCCAACUGCCUAAUGGAACGCAUGCC
RNAcentral lists this ribosomal RNA (1053 nucleotides) under Parabacteroides distasonis. RNAcentral describes it as "partial 16S ribosomal RNA". The record is from RNAcentral. Lineage: Bacteria; Pseudomonadati; Bacteroidota; Bacteroidia; Bacteroidales; Tannerellaceae.